CCUACGGGAGGCAGCAGUGAGGAAUAUUGGUCAAUGGGCGCGAGCCUGAACCAGCCAAGUCGCGUGAGGGAAGACGGUCCUAUGGAUUGUAAACCUCUUUUGUCGGGGAGCAAAAGACGCCACGCGUGGCGUUCCGAGAGUACCCGAAGAAAAAGCAUCGGCUAACUCCGUGCCAGCAGCCGCGGUCAUACGGAGGAUGCGAGCGUUAUCCGGAUUUAUGGGGUUUAAAGGGUUCGCAGGCGGAAGAUCAAGUCAGCGGUAAAAUUGAGAGGCUCAACCUCUUCGAGCCGUUGAAACUGGUUUUCUUGAGUGAGUGAGAAGUAUGCGGAAUGCGUGGUGUAGCGGUGAAAUGCAUAGAUAUCACGCAGAACUCCGAUUGCGAAGGCAGCAUACCGGCGCUCAACUGACGCUCAUGCACGAAAGUGUGGGUAUCGAACAGGAUUAGAUACCCCUGUAGUC
This 459-nucleotide ribosomal RNA is filed under the name uncultured bacterium. RNAcentral describes it as "partial 16S ribosomal RNA". It matches the Rfam family "Bacterial small subunit ribosomal RNA", at positions 338 to 795 of the family's 1533-position model. The record is from RNAcentral.